UAACAUCAGACUAUUUUCUUCAUAAGGUUUUCUAUUCCAUGACCACAAACCAAGAGUAAUCGUCGUCAUAUAGCCACCAAUGCAAGUUUUAGCUCCAAAAACAAAAGGAGUGGGGACUGUCAUGCACUACGUACGAUUUAAUCUGCUAUCUUACCUCCUACUAACCAGCCAAGAGUGAUUGUCUUUAAACUCAAAGUUAUUGGUUUUUUCCAUGAACAACUAAUCAGUAACAAAGUUUUCUGUUAAGUUGAUUGUCAUUGCAGUCUAAAUUAGCACUCUAUGUUUGUGAUACCUUCUCAUAAACAUUUCAUCAAAUAAUUUAAAUGCAAUUCGAGUAUGGGGUUCGUUGCAAAACAUAAGACAAAAAACAUUACAUGAAAAUUGCAUGAAUGACAGCUGCGAAAUCCAAAUUAAGUAUAACCAAUAUCCUACACUAACCAUUGUUGAAGUAAUCUAUAUUUGAUGUGAAAUUGAUCUUACUUGGAUGGGAUCAAUAUCUUGCAUUUUCACUUCAGAGUUGCCACUGGCAGCAGAUUUAUUGUAAUUAUUAUUAUUUACUUUUCCCAGGUUGAGAUGUUCACGUGAAGCCAUAAGGACUUGAACAGCCUACAUGAAAAGUACUCCAGUUAUGUAUGAUAAACAGCAGGAAAUACAGUAAACACGAAAAAUAAUUAAAUUUUUGAAAUUAAAUAGAUUCCACGAUUUUCUUUGCACAAAUAAACCCAUUUUCAUAAACCCUAAAAAAUGUAUCUUAGAAUUACAAUAACCCCCAAAUCCUAAAGCAAAAUUUUCAAUUUUGUAAACCGUAGUUCUUUUUACACAUAAAAAACACGAUAUUUUAACAACAAUUGUAGAUUAUAAGUAAAUCCAUAAACCCUUUUAGCCAUGAAAGUAACCACAUAAACCCAAAUUGUUGAUUAUAAUUCAAAAUUCAAAAACCCUAAAAAACAAUUUCCAAAUUGAAAACCCAACCAAAGAAGAAGAAGAAUGAAUGAAGAAGAAAGAAAAAAAGAAAGAAAACCUACCAAAUCGUCGUAGCAGUAGCAGUAGCAGCAGUUCAACCGCUUCUCUUCUUCGUUAUCGCCAUCUCUCUCUCUUCUCUGGUUCUCUUGAUAUCGUGUUGUGAAAAA
RNAcentral lists this long non-coding RNA (1130 nucleotides) under Aquilegia coerulea. RNAcentral describes it as "long non-coding RNA (ACOE_LNC001059)". Lineage: Eukaryota; Viridiplantae; Streptophyta; Magnoliopsida; Ranunculales; Ranunculaceae. The record is from RNAcentral.